AAGACAUAGUUUAGUUAAAAUAUUAGAUUGUAAAUCUAAAGAGUUUUGUUUUUG
This 54-nucleotide transfer RNA is filed under the name Contracaecum osculatum B sensu Nascetti et al. (1993). RNAcentral describes it as "tRNA-Tyr". Lineage: Eukaryota; Metazoa; Nematoda; Chromadorea; Rhabditida; Anisakidae. The record is from RNAcentral.